This 318-nucleotide ribosomal RNA is filed under the name uncultured eukaryote. RNAcentral describes it as "partial 18S ribosomal RNA". It matches the Rfam family "Eukaryotic small subunit ribosomal RNA", at positions 1470 to 1796 of the family's 1831-position model. The record is from RNAcentral.
CCCUUAGAUGUCCUGGGCCGCACGCGUGCUACACUGACGCAUACAGCGAGCACUUUCCAGUUCCGAGAGGCUACUGGUAAUCAUCAAUAUGCGUCGUGAUGGGGAUAGAUCUUUGGAAUUCUGGAUCUUGAACGAGGAAUGCCUAGUAAUCGCAGGUCAUUAGCCUGCGAUGAUUAAGUCCCUGCCCUUUGUACACACCGCCCGUCGCUACUACCGAUUUCGAGUGGUCAGGUGAAUCUUUCGGACUGUGGGCGCCCUUGAGGUGUUCGCGGAAAGUCAGGUAAAGCUUAUCACUUAGAGGAAGUAAAAGUCGUAACA